Schistosoma margrebowiei is the source of this 75-nucleotide non-coding RNA. The record is from Rfam. NCBI's taxonomy places the organism in Eukaryota, Metazoa, Platyhelminthes, Trematoda, Strigeidida, Schistosomatidae.
ACCCCUCUGUAUCCGUACUGAGACUUCGUUACAUACCAGACAACAAGGGCUGAUGAGACUCACAAGUAAAGAGGU